UUACACGAUGCCCCAUUACAUCUCGUAAGUGAUGCAAAGCCCCUCUAAACAUCUUUGUCACAUUGUACAAAGAGAGCCAAAUCUGCAAGUUGACAACAUGUGCUGUGCUGUUCUCUGUCAUGUUUUGUGAGCAUUUAUGUAGAUCGCAAAUAUUCACAUGGGAAUUUGAAAACGUAGACUCCAUGUGGCAUCUCACAUGGUGUUUUUUAAAUCUUAUUAUAGGAGCAACAACUGAAAGAUAAUCAUAGCAUUUGUAGUCCAUGGCUUCUAAAAGGCACAUAUUUCCUAAUACUAAGUACCCACAAGUUCUAAGCUUCUCUUAACUCUGUAUACCUUAACUCUAACAUGCCAGAAUCCGCCCAGCCUACAUUUUAUCACUACUGCCAUCAGCACUGACAUUUCCCUAGUAUACAGUAGAAAACAGUCUGCUGCUGCAUAAUAGACUAGCACAGGGAUAUGCAGUCUUCGGCACUCCAGAUGUUGUGGACUACAUUUUCCAUAAUGCUGGCAAAGACUUAUCGCAAAUGUAGUUCACAACAUCUGGAUUGCCGAAGGUUGCCUACCCUUGUCCUAACACGUUUAUGGUUUACUGUUCUUCCCUAGCUUAAUCGCACACAUUGUUUGGC
Molecule: non-coding RNA, 626 nt
Organism: Pelobates cultripes (western spadefoot toad)
Lineage: Eukaryota; Metazoa; Chordata; Amphibia; Anura; Pelobatidae
Source: the annotation of a GenBank genome assembly